ACGGGUGAGUAAUGUCUGGGGAUCUGCCCGAUAGAGGGGGAUAACCACUGGAAACGGUGGCUAAUACCGCAUAACGUCGCAAGACCAAAGAGGGGGACCUUCGGGCCUCUCACUAUCGGAUGAACCCAGAUGGGAUUAGCUAGUAGGCGGGGUAACGGCCCACCUAGGCGACGAUCCCUAGCUGGUCUGAGAGGAUGACCAGCCACACUGGAACUGAGACACGGUCCAGACUCCUACGGGAGGCAGCAGUGGGGAAUAUUGCACAAUGGGCGCAAGCCUGAUGCAGCCAUGCCGCGUGUAUGAAGAAGGCCUUCGGGUUGUAAAGUACUUUCAGCGGGGAGGAAGGCGAUAAGGUUAAUAACCUUGUCGAUUGACGUUACCCGCAGAAGAAGCACCGGCUAACUCCGUGCCAGCAGCCGCGGUAAUACGGAGGGUGCAAGCGUUAAUCGGAAUUACUGGGCGUAAAGCGCACGCAGGCGGUCUGUUAAGUCAGAUGUGAAAUCCCCGGGCUUAACCUGGGAACUGCAUUUGAAACUGGCAGGCUUGAGUCUCGUAGAGGGGGGUAGAAUUCCAGGU
RNAcentral lists this ribosomal RNA (576 nucleotides) under uncultured bacterium. RNAcentral describes it as "bacterial SSU rRNA". It matches the Rfam family "Bacterial small subunit ribosomal RNA", at positions 102 to 674 of the family's 1533-position model. The record is from RNAcentral.